RNAcentral lists this ribosomal RNA (468 nucleotides) under Enterococcus faecium. RNAcentral's name for it is "bacterial SSU rRNA". It matches the Rfam family "Bacterial small subunit ribosomal RNA", at positions 540 to 1006 of the family's 1533-position model. The record is from RNAcentral. Lineage: Bacteria; Bacillati; Bacillota; Bacilli; Lactobacillales; Enterococcaceae.
GUGGUCCGGGUUUCUUGGGCGUAAAGCGGGCGCAGGCGUGUUCUUAAGGUGGACGUGAAAGCCCCCGGCUCAACCGGGGAGGGUCAUGGGAAACUGGGGGACUUGAGUGCAGAAGAGGGGAGUGGAAUUCCAUGUGUAGCGGUGAAAUGCGUAGAUAUAGAGAGGAACACCAGUGGCGAAGGCGACGCUCUGGGCUGUAACUGACGCAGAGGCUGGAAAGCGUGAGGAGCAAACAGGAUGAGAGACCCUGAUAGGCCACGCCGUAAACGAUGCGUGCUAAGUGUUGGAGAGUUUCCGCCCUUCAGUGCUGCAGCUAACGCAUUAAGCACCCCGCCUGGGGAGUACGACCGCAAGGUUGAAACUCAAAGGAAUUGACGGGGGCCCGCACAAGCGGUGGAGCAUGUGGUUUAAUUCGAAGCAACGCGAAGAACCUUACCAGGUCUUGACAUCCUUUGACCACUCUAGAGA